UAGGGAAUCUUCGGCAAUGGACGGAAGUCUGACCGAGCAACGCCGCGUGAGUGAAGAAGGUUUUCGGAUCGUAAAGCUCUGUUGUAAGAGAAGAACGAGUGUGAGAGUGGAAAGUUCACACUGUGACGGUAUCUUACCAGAAAGGGACGGCUAACUACGUGCCAGCAGCCGCGGUAAUACGUAGGUCCCGAGCGUUGUCCGGAUUUAUUGGGCGUAAAGCGAGCGCAGGCGGUUAGAUAAGUCUGAAGUUAAAGGCUGUGGCUUAACCAUAGUACGCUUUGGAAACUGUUUAACUUGAGUGCAUGAGGGGAGAGUGGAAUUCCAUGUGUAGCGGUGAAAUGCGUAGAUAUAUGGAGGAACACCGGUGGCGAAAGCGGCUCUCUGGCUUGUAACUGACGCUGAGGCUCGAAAGCGUGGGGAGCAAACAGGAUUAGAUACCCUGGUAGUCCACGCCGUAAACGAUGAGUGCUAGGUGUUAGACCCUUUCCGGGGUUUAGUGCCGUAGCUAACGCAUUAAGCACUCCGCCUGGGGAGUACGACCGCAAGGUUG
RNAcentral lists this ribosomal RNA (550 nucleotides) under uncultured bacterium. RNAcentral describes it as "bacterial SSU rRNA". It matches the Rfam family "Bacterial small subunit ribosomal RNA", at positions 355 to 896 of the family's 1533-position model. The record is from RNAcentral.